Humulus lupulus (European hop) is the source of this 340-nucleotide long non-coding RNA. RefSeq lists it as uncharacterized. The transcript is spliced from 3 exons. Lineage: Eukaryota; Viridiplantae; Streptophyta; Magnoliopsida; Rosales; Cannabaceae. The record is from RefSeq and is a predicted model, not a curated record.
UUAUAUAUAUAGACAUGGAAACAUAUUGCCAAUGUAAUUAAUUUUUUGAGCUUGCAUUUACCAUCCAAACAGCUACUCCGAUUGAUUAAUUGAGACUGUAUUAUGUAUACUGAGAAUCUGAGGCUGGAAUGAUUUGUGCAUAGACUGUUUAUGAAUCCUAUUCUUCUCAAACAACUAGCAAGACCAUUAGAUUUGAGUUAUAAAUGGCUCUGGGAAGCUAACACUUUGAAGGAAGCUCUUGAGUCCAACAAUACAAUUUCAGAUAAUGAUGUAGCACAGACCAUCAGGUGUGUGUGUUGCAGACCAUCACUCAUUUAUUUAUGGAAUGUGCAUUAAUUCA